UAUCAUGAAGAAAAAACCAGCAUGUUGCUUCUGUAAAAAAUGAAAAGAAAGUUUGGUGUCUUGUUAUUGAUGAUGUCGAUGGUGGUUAGGUUGAAACACGGAGGGGGUAGUCGCGAGUUGGUUAUGGAAAUGAGUUAUGAUUCGUGUCGGCGGUGUGAACAAUUAGUUGAGGGAGAGAUGUGUGUCUUUUUUUAUGUUGGGUAGUAAGGGAGGUGAAUAUAUAAAGUCCAGUUUGUGUUUAGCGUGAAGAGAGAUGCAUGGACUGGAAAAACAAUGUCCAAGUUUUUGUGUGGAAAUGAACAUGAAGUGACAAAAAAAGGAAAGUCACGGAGUGCCUUUCUUUUUUAUGGAAAACGAAUCCCAAUAUCUCUCUCUUUUGUUUUUUAUUUUUUUGUCAAUGUUCUGAAUAAUGAGAGAGAAUCCUCU
This 426-nucleotide long non-coding RNA is filed under the name Lathyrus oleraceus (garden pea). Its description in RNAcentral is "Pisum sativum (pea) long non-coding RNA (PSAT_LNC022893)". The record is from RNAcentral. Lineage: Eukaryota; Viridiplantae; Streptophyta; Magnoliopsida; Fabales; Fabaceae.